AACGCACGAGACCUGCGGACCUGCGGAGGGAUCAUUACAGGACUCGCAAGACUCCUACAACCCUGUGAACCUACUAUACGAACGUUGCUUCGGCGGGUGCGCCCCGGGGAUUCGCUCCCGCGGCGCGUCAGCCCGCCGGCAGCCUACAAAUUCUGUUUCUUUGCGUUGGCAUCUCGAGAAAAACAAAUAAGUUAAAACUUUCAACAAUGGAUCUCU
This 216-nucleotide unclassified non-coding RNA is filed under the name soil metagenome. Its description in RNAcentral is "partial contains 5.8S ribosomal RNA, internal transcribed spacer 2, and large subunit ribosomal RNA". The record is from RNAcentral.